Long non-coding RNA from Macrobrachium nipponense, 705 nucleotides. RefSeq lists it as uncharacterized. The record is from RefSeq and is a predicted model, not a curated record. Lineage: Eukaryota; Metazoa; Arthropoda; Malacostraca; Decapoda; Palaemonidae. The transcript has 4 exons.
UGAGACGGACGGAUGAUGCAGCUAUAUCAAUCUCGUAGAUACGCCAAUUCAAAUUCCGAUUUGAGAGCCGAAUACUCUUUUCGCACGAACUGACCCAACCACAUUCACAGCCAUCAGAGACUCACUCGAUGGAUCGACAGGGCUAAACCUUUAUCGGCCGUCGCGUGCUGAUUGACGUAAAGGAAGGUUCUAUGUCCUUGGAAGGACUGAGCAAGAUGGUGAACUUAGAAGCUGGUCCUUUUGGCGUUGUGAAUUGGAUGGUCUGCAUCAUCCUACUAUGGUGACCAUUUUAGUUGGCGUUAUCUGCUCUCUCAGAGGAAGAGGCACCAAUGCAUUUGAAGAUUACCUCUUAGGAGGUCGUCAGAUGUCUUCCUUACCAGUUGCGUUGUCUCUCAUAGCCAGUACCAUCUCUGCGAUUUCCAUGUUAGGCCUUGCCUCUGAGAUGUACUUCUAUGGAUCCCAGUUUGUAAUCAUCCUGGCCGGGUUAUUGUAUGGCACGUUUUUCGUCCAGUUGUUGAUGGUUCCUAUCCUGUAUCCUCUGGACAUUCUAUCUAUUAAUGAGUACAUCACGUUGAGGUUUGGAUCUCAAGGACUGAGGAAACUGUCGUCGGCAACUCUGGUGAUUGGCAAUUUGAUAUACAAUGGGAUCUGUCUGUACGCCCCGUCCCUCACCCCUGUCUACUGUGACAGGGCUCUCCACUAACU